This 273-nucleotide ribosomal RNA is filed under the name uncultured bacterium. Its description in RNAcentral is "partial 16S ribosomal RNA". It matches the Rfam family "Bacterial small subunit ribosomal RNA", at positions 523 to 796 of the family's 1533-position model. The record is from RNAcentral.
AUACGGAGGGUGCAAGCGUUGUUCGGAAUCACUGGGCGUAAAGGGCGCGCAGGCGGUUUGGUAAGUCAGAUGUGAAAGCCCACGGCUCAACCGUGGAAGUGCAUUUGAAACUGCCAGACUUGAGUACCAGAGGGGAAAGUGGAAUUCCCGGUGUAGAGGUGAAAUUCGUAGAUAUCGGGAGGAUACCGGUGGCGAAGGCGACUUUCUGGCUGGAUACUGACGCUGAGGCGCGAAAGCGUGGGGAGCAAACAGGAUUAGAAACCCUAGUAGUCC